This 229-nucleotide long non-coding RNA is filed under the name Vitis vinifera (wine grape). Its description in RNAcentral is "long non-coding RNA (VVIN_LNC002206)". The record is from RNAcentral. Lineage: Eukaryota; Viridiplantae; Streptophyta; Magnoliopsida; Vitales; Vitaceae.
UAGUUUUAGAAUUUAGGUUGUUUGUUUUUUUUACUUUUUCAUGACUUAUUAUAAACUUUUUACUAAAUAGAAAAAGCCAAAAUAUGUGGCUUUUUCUAAAUAGAAAAAAUAACACAAUGAUUUUUUUUUACUUUUUAAUACUUAAUAGAAAUAAAAUACUAUAAAAACAAACAACCUAAUAUUUAAUACUAUUAAGUAUUAAGGUUCUAUUUAGAAUUAAGUAAAAAAA